This 301-nucleotide ribosomal RNA is filed under the name uncultured bacterium. RNAcentral's name for it is "partial 16S ribosomal RNA". It matches the Rfam family "Bacterial small subunit ribosomal RNA", at positions 509 to 807 of the family's 1533-position model. The record is from RNAcentral.
CAGUAGCCGCGGUAACACGUAGGGUGCGAGCGUUAAUCGGAAUUACUGGGCGUAAAGCGUGCGCAGGCGGUUUUGUAAGACAGGUGUGAAAUCCCCGGGCUUAACCUGGGAACUGCGCUUGUGACUGCACAGCUAGAGUAUGGCAGAGGGGGGUGGAAUUCCACGUGUAGCAGUGAAAUGCGUAGAGAUGUGGAGGAACACCGAUGGCGAAGGCAGCCCCCUGGGCCAAUACUGACGCUCAUGCACGAAAGCGUGGGGAGCAAACAGGAUUAGAUACCCCCGUAGUCCCUGUCUCUUAUAC